This 301-nucleotide ribosomal RNA is filed under the name uncultured bacterium. Its description in RNAcentral is "partial 16S ribosomal RNA". It matches the Rfam family "Bacterial small subunit ribosomal RNA", at positions 509 to 807 of the family's 1533-position model. The record is from RNAcentral.
CAGUAGCCACGGGAAUACGUAGGGUGCGAGCGUUAAUCGGAACUACUGGGCGUAAAGCGUGCGCAGGCGGUUUUGUAAGACAGGCGCGAAAUCCCCGGGCUCAACCUGGGAAUGGCGCUUGUGACUGCAAAGCUAGAGUGCGGCAGAGGGGGAUGGAAUUCCGCGUGUAGCAGCGAAAUGCGUAGAUAUGCGGAGGAACACCGAUGGCGAAGGCAAUCCCCUGGGCCUGCACUGACGCUCAUGCACGAAAGCGUGGGGAGCGAACAGGAUUAGAUACCCCAGUAGUCCCUGUCUCUUAUAC